Long non-coding RNA from Ornithodoros turicata, 1072 nucleotides. RefSeq lists it as uncharacterized. The transcript has 4 exons. The record is from RefSeq and is a predicted model, not a curated record. NCBI's taxonomy places the organism in Eukaryota, Metazoa, Arthropoda, Arachnida, Ixodida, Argasidae.
GUUCUACGCUCUACGAAUUAAGAUCAAGAAUCGAACAGAAAAACGGUGUGGAUUGGUUUGGAUUGAAUUGAUUGCGGACUGGCUAUAUUCAUGUAAAUGCAAUCCAAUUCAAGUACGGGCCGAAGCCUACAACGUUAGCAGACGACAUCACUCUCGCAGCAUGUUGCGUUGAUUACGUCGUGAGUUUGUCUUGGACCCACGUUGUCCGCACAGUCAACGGUCUGUUCGAGCGUCUGAGGCUCACUACACACCACUACCCAGUAAAAGCAGCAACAACGAAAAGUGGGAAUGGACAAGCCGUAGAUCCCGCAAUCCUCCAGUGCACUGCCAGCAUGGUACCGACGCAGGAGCAGUAGUACAGGCCAAUGGUCAGGUACGGCCUGGCGUACCAGGACAUGGUGCUGCCGAACAGGGUCAGGACAAGUGCCACAGCCACGGAGGUCAGCACACCAGCGACCAUCGAUGCGAGGAUGACUCCCAAGGCUCUGGCACGACACCAGGCCACAAGCAUCAUGCCGUGCUUGUUGCCUGGAUGAAGAUUGGGAUGUUCUCUUCUGCUCCAUUAAACAAGAAUAUGAUGGGGUGGGGCAAUGGUGUUGGUCUCCGCGAAAGCACCUGCAGGAUCUCCAUCAGGAUGGCACAGCUAAUGGCAUCAUCGCUGGCUCCUGAAAUUAAUGCGACGUUACGUGAUGAGUGCCCGGCGAUGUUGGAGGCAUAGGGCAUUCCCAGUGGCCCGAAUGUUUCACUGCUGUGCCGAUAUGGCUUGUUUGAAAAUGGCACCGGUUGGAUAUUUUUAUCCAUUCUUGAUCGUUACAUGAUGGCUGUUGUGUCGAUCCAUGAAAGUUUUUUUUUUUUUUUAACUUACUUGAAGUGGUGACAAUAAAGAAAUUGCAUUACUUAAAGUAGGGACAGUAUACUGUACAGGAAUGAAAUUACUUCAGGGGCGGGUUUAGACCCUCGGUUUGUGGGGGGUAGAAAAGGAAAUCCCACGUAUAAUCAGACGUUUUUUUGGGGGGGAGGGGGGAACGCCCCCUGGAUCUGACAGUGAAUCACUUGGAUCAAUUUAUAAAAA